CGCCGCCCGCUGGCCCGCAGCUGGGUGUAGGCAGAGUGCGCCCCGGGACCCCGCCGCGUCCCUUCCGGGUGCCCCGCUCUUCUGGUUCCUCUGCUGCUGCCUGGCGCCGUUUUGCAGCCUCCUGGCCCUCGCUGGUCCCUGCUCCGGACUUGGGCGCUCGGCUCCCGAGCCUCGGUGCGGACCGGGAGCUGAGGCCGGGAGCUGAGCCCUGCGGCCGGCGGCCUAGCGGCAUCCUCGCCUGGCGUGGGUGGGAGCGUCUCCGAUCCUGCUUCUCAUUACCUGUGGGUGGUAACUGGAGACUGCUUCGUGAGUCCGUGCCUGGGAUGCUCCAGUUGUCAUCCCUGCUGACUUGGAGAAAAUUCAAACAGAAAUGGAAAGAGCCCAUUAGUGAGUCCAAGGGAGGCUUGACACUACAUGCUCCUCGGGGCAGAGGCAGCCGACCCUAGUGACCUACCAGGCAAGACAUGCUGGCCGCGACUGGGCACUGAGGAUUUAGAAGUUGCAAGGACUUGUUAGAGCACCCGACUGGAAUCCAGCAGUGACCCAUGAGUUCAGAGGUGAGGAUUUUGGGGAAGUGAUUGGAUCAUGGGGGUGGGACACUAUACCCAUCUGUGGACUCAUCCAUUGAUGAGUCCAUAGCUGAAUGUGCUGUUGGGAGGUGAAGCCUGGUCAGAAGAGAGGGAUCACUAGUGAUAUGACCAGGAAGGAUGCAUUCUUGUCCCUGGCUCCUUCUCCACUCUUUGCUUCCUGGUUGCCAUGGGUUGAGCAGCUUUCCUCCACCAAGCCCUCCCACCAUGCCAUUCUGCCUUGGAGUCAACGAACUGUAGACUGAAUCCCCCCAAACUGUAAGCCAAGUAAACCUUUCCUCCUUUAAGUUAUAGGGGUUGGGUAUUUUGUCCCAGCAACAGGAAAGGUGACUAAUACAGUUUUAUUUUCCAAAAGCAGCCUGUCUUGGCACCCUCUCUGGUUUCCUGCUCUCUCUUGCCUCUCCUGCAGCCAAGAGCAGGACUGAGCUGCCCCCUUGGUGGGGAAUGCAAGUGGGACACCUAAGGCUGAGGGGAGAUGCCAGCAAGCUAUCUACUCUAGCAAUUUUUGGUGUAGUAGAUACUUGAUUUUUUCUCUUUCACCCAGCACAUUGUGAAUUCUGUGAAGGCAGAUGCUCUGCACGUUGUCUUUGCAAUUGGGUGGUUCUCAGAGGAGACAGUCACUGUGAGAACCACUCAUGGCUUCACGUCUUUGACAGGAUGACACUAACCAUCUGGAAUGAACGCCCUCUUCUCUAGUCUCCAGAGUCCUUAUGUGCCCAUUACAGGUGUCGUGGUGGUUCUUCCUCUCGGUGCCCCUACACCUCAUCUGUCACUUCCGCCUCAGGACAUCUAUGUUUGCAGCACACAUUGGAUGGAAACGGCUGGGCACCAGAUAGCGCUUUGCCCACUGCCCAUGCUCCCAUCACCCUUUUGUCUACUUUUCCCUGGAUCGAAUAUCCAAAUUCUUCAUUCUACUUUUUUGUUCACAAAUCUCAUUUUUCAUUACUGUAUAAUUUUGACUGUUACUAUUUUCUCUGGUUUUGCCCAUUUUUUGUGCUACUUUCUAAAUCUAGAGACCAGAGAUUUCAUCUAGAAAACAGUGCCUCACUGUCUUGCUGAAUCAUGCUUGCUCUGCCUUCCUUCUGCAAAACAUCUUUGCAGUGCACACUUCUGGCUGAUUCCUGGGGCUUGGCUUGUAGCCCGUGAGGUAGAAAAGUGAAAGGCAGUUCAGGUUCUACUGAGGAUGCUUCCCAUCCUGUGCACUUAAGGCUGUGCCUCAUCAGAGCACUGAGCUCAGCAGGUGACAGGGGUAAAUGAGCUAGUGCUCCUGGAGCUUUCAGAGAGCUGGCCCGAAUAAUUGGUAGUUAUCAUUUCUGUGCCGGUUUCACUAUUACCAUUACCCGUCAGGCAUGGUACACUCAAAAACUCAAAGUCCAGGGAGUCACUGGAGUCUGAGGUAAGGAGAAAGGAACAGGGUAAGGGGAGAAAGGUAACAAGGGGUUUGAGUGAGUUUGGGCUUCCCUGUGAGUGUACUCUUCACCAUUCCAUGGCUUCUGCCCUUAGGAGACACAGCCCUUUGAUCUUGGGCUUCCUGGACUCUAAGACUG
Long non-coding RNA from Heterocephalus glaber (naked mole-rat), 2134 nucleotides. RefSeq lists it as uncharacterized. Lineage: Eukaryota; Metazoa; Chordata; Mammalia; Rodentia; Bathyergidae. The record is from RefSeq and is a predicted model, not a curated record.